UACUUUAUUUACAGGUAUCCAUUAAUAAAAUUGGAUGGCAGAUUAGGAUAAAUGCAUUUAAACCAUACAAAUUGAAUCUGGCUGUGGAUACCGACAAUUCCAGGGAGAAUUUAACUAUCCAAACAAUGGAGAAUGGAAACUGGCAGUAAUAACACACUGGCUUGAUAUAAAACAUUGACUCAGCUCCCAAUAGAUUUAUUCCAUCUGAAUGGUUUUCCUGACAGUAUCUGUCCCACCAGAACAAUGUUCUGUUCUAAAUAAAGCUCUAACCAACAGACAGUGCAGCGCAGUGCCCAUUUCUGUCCUUUUUCCAAAAGUGUAUGAGAACAGAGCAGAGCACCAUCCCUACAGAUUCAGAAUUAAAGUACAGAAAAGGACCUUUUGCUCCAUACCAUCUGUCCAGAACAGUAAUCUCUAUUUACUCUUCAAACUGAGCAGGCUGUAGCCUACAAGCAUCGCAUUAAAGAGAGACUAACCACUCAGAGACCUGAUUUAUUCUACAGGCUCGACUAGACAGUUUGGCUCGACCCUGUAAUGUGAAUCAUUUUGGAAAGAAUGGUACAAAGAGAUACCCAUGACUUGUCUUUUUUCUAUAGAACUAGAAUGACUGCCCUUCAGACAACAGCAAUAUGAAUGGGUCAUGGAUGGAUACAUCUAAAGACAACCUGAUACACCGUUUUAAAAAAUGAAAAUCACAAUAGGAUCUCUGAUAAACACAAUUAAAAGGGAAAAGUCUGAUUAUUUGUCACAGACCAUUGACUUAAAUGGGAAUUCCAGUUCCAGUAUUUCUAUGGUUUUACCUGUGUUUGGCUCAACUGUUAAAACACAGUAAUACAGUUGAUCAGUAUUCAAAUGUAAGUAAUCAAAAACAGAGUGUUGUGAUGUUUAAAUAGGAGGGUGUGACAGGAUCUCUGUCUAUAGCAUAAGGUGUGUAGCAUGUUUUACUGGCUUGUUUAAUAGAAAUACACCACCUGCUCAUUUAUUAUGGUGUUGACCUCAAAAGGUCCCAAUAGGUCCGGAAUCACAGCUUAUAACAGCUCAAUCAGACACAUUCGGUCAUAAUAACACAGCACUUGUUCAGACUGCAACAGAGACAAAAUAUAAAGCCUUAAUGAUAGAAUGUAAGUUCCAAAACAAAUGUGACCUAUAACGAAAGAAGCAAUCUAAUCCAACUUUGGGCAGCAUUCACUUUCGGGCGAUGACACAUACUCAAUAUUAUAAUGGACAAAAAUAAACAAUGCUACAUCCAUAUAUACACAUGCCCUUAUCCAAUCUUUACAAAAAUAAACAUUACACUACAUUUUGUUCCAUCUCUGGGCUGAAUCCUAACAUGAGCCCAUUGCAACCCAAGUCAGACUUCUUGCACAGAUCUCCCAUUGACAUCAAUGUAUUUAUGCAAACAAGAUAAGCGCGAAUCACAAGUUAAGACUCAGCCUUAUGUGACUGACUACAUUGUUGGGGAUAGAGUCAUAAGUAGAACACCUGUCCACUGGAUAAUCUGAAAAGGCACCCUAUUCCUUAUGUAGUGCACUUCUUUUGGCUACAUGGUAUAGGUGUUGCGUACUACAUAGGGAACAGGAAGCUGUCCCACAUCAGGAGUGUACUAGUGUGGUCAGGUCCAGGUUCAUGUUGUAUAUGGCAGAGAACUCUUUGGAGAGGAGCUCAUGGAGGCACAUGCCAUCAUGGGAGUAGACCCACCGCUGUCCUGUCCAAUCAUAACGCUUUGGGCCACUGGAAUAAGUCACAGGAACCAGAAGUAG
Esox lucius (northern pike) is the source of this 1760-nucleotide long non-coding RNA. Lineage: Eukaryota; Metazoa; Chordata; Actinopteri; Esociformes; Esocidae. The record is from Ensembl.